UACAGAGGUCUCAAGCGUUGUUCGGAUUCAUUGGGCGUAAAGGGUGCGUAGGCGGCGCGGUAAGUCGGGUGUGAAAUCUCGGAGCUUAACUCCGAAACUGCAUUCGAUACUGCCGUGCUUGAGGACUGGAGAGGAGACUGGAAUUUACGGUGUAGCGGUGAAAUGCGUAGAUAUCAUAAGGAAGACCAGUGGCGAAGGCGGGUCUCUGGACAGUUCCUGACGCUGAGGCACGAAGGCCAGGGGAGCAAACGGG
Molecule: ribosomal RNA, 253 nt
Filed under: uncultured bacterium
Lineage: Bacteria
Description: partial 16S ribosomal RNA
Rfam family: Bacterial small subunit ribosomal RNA
Source: RNAcentral